This 65-nucleotide transfer RNA is filed under the name Termitinae sp. RNAcentral's name for it is "tRNA-Ala". Lineage: Eukaryota; Metazoa; Arthropoda; Insecta; Blattodea; Termitidae. The record is from RNAcentral.
GGGACUAUAGUUAAUAAUAACAUUUGAGUUGCAUUCAAAAAGUACUACCUAAAUAGUUAGCCUCA